GCUUUACAUGCUGGGCAAACUCAUCCACUUCUCUAUCAGAGUGUCUAUGUGGCCGAAUUGUUUCCAGAAAAGACCUCCAGAAAAUAGCUUCCUGUUUCUCCACCGCUCAGACAUGAAGCCCACCCUCAUCUCAGUGCUUGUGAUAAUAUUUAUACUCAGAGGAACAAGAGCCCAGAGUGUGACUCAGCCCGAGAAGAUCCUCUCUGUCUUUAAAGGGGCCCCAGUGGAGCUGAAGUGCUACUAUUCAUAUUCUGGGAGUCCUGAUCUCCUUUGGUAUGUCCAGUACCCCAAACAACGCCUCCAGUUACUCUUGAGGCACAUCCCUAGAGAGAGCAUCAAAGGCUUCACUGCUGACCUUAACAAAAGCGAUACAUCUUUCCAUCUGAAGAAACUAUUCGCUCAAGAGGAAGACUCAGCCACGUAUUACUGUGCUCUAAGUGGCACAGUAGCUGGUUUUGCAAGGAAGCAGAACACAAACCGUUUAGUCACAGGAAAUAUUUCUUUGUAAACUCUCUGUAAGGCCACAGCGGGGCAUUCUUUCUCCAGAAAUUAAUAUUGAGUUUGUCUCCUACAUAUUAUAUCAUCAGUAGUCAGUUAGCUAUAGAUUAACCUCACAGUUUUGUCCAAAAAAAUUCUCAUUAUUUACUCUGCUUAAACUAAUUUUAAAAAUAGUAAAUGUGUUUAUUUUGUCUAGUAGUACAGGAAACAUACUUUUGAAAUAAAAACUAUAUUGC
Mandrillus leucophaeus (drill) is the source of this 734-nucleotide non-coding RNA. NCBI's taxonomy places the organism in Eukaryota, Metazoa, Chordata, Mammalia, Primates, Cercopithecidae. The record is from the annotation of a RefSeq genome assembly.